GUGGGGAAUCUUGGACAAUGGGCGCAAGCCUGAUCCAGCCAUGCCGCGUGAGUGAUGAAGGCCUUAGGGUUGUAAAGCUCUUUCGACGGGGACGAUAAUGACGGUACCCGUAGAAGAAGCCCCGGCUAACUUCGUGCCAGCAGCCGCGGUAAUACGAAGGGGGCUAGCGUUGUUCGGAAUUACUGGGCGUAAAGCGCACGUAGGCGGACAUUUAAGUUGGAGGUGAAAGCCUUGGGCUCAACCCAAGAAUUGCCUUCGAUACUGGAUGUCUCGAGACCGGGAGAGGUGAGUGGAAUUCCGAGUGUAGAGGUGAAAUUCGUAGAUAUUCGGAAGAACACCAGUGGCGAAGGCGGCUCACUGGCCCGGUUCUGACGCUGAGGUGCGAAAGCGUGGGGAGCAAACAGGAUUAGAAACCCGGGUAGUCC
Molecule: ribosomal RNA, 425 nt
Filed under: uncultured bacterium
Lineage: Bacteria
Description: bacterial SSU rRNA
Rfam family: Bacterial small subunit ribosomal RNA
Source: RNAcentral